Drosophila montana is the source of this 1568-nucleotide RNA transcript. It is a transcript of the gene named Vesicle-associated membrane protein synaptobrevin, with no coding region annotated. The record is from RefSeq and is a predicted model, not a curated record. Lineage: Eukaryota; Metazoa; Arthropoda; Insecta; Diptera; Drosophilidae. The transcript is spliced from 5 exons.
CAAUCACCAUUUUUUUCAGCCUGUAGAAAUUGUCAGACAAAACACAACGUUGCCUUACUAAUACAUUUUUAAUCAAAAUCCAAAAAAAUUUAAAAGCGAAGCAUAAAACAGGCAAACAGCACAGAAACAGCUAAACAAUUGUACAAUAAACAUUUUCCAGCUAGUAUACAUUUAAACAAGCACAAAGAUGGAGAACAACGAGGCGCCCGCACCUUCCGGUUCCAAUAAUGAUUUUCCCAUACUUCCGCCGCCGCCGAAUGCCUCGUCCUCCUACAACUAUAACAACGAAAUCAACAACAACAAAAGCAACAACAAUGCCGCCCAGAAGCGCCUGCAGCAGACACAGGCCAAAGUGGACGAGGUCGUGGGCAUAAUGCGCGUCAACGUCGAGAAGGUGCUCGAACGUGACCAAAAACUAUCGGAGCUGGGCGAACGUGCCGACCAGCUGGAGCAGGGCGCCUCACAGUUCGAGCAGCAGGCCGGCAAGCUGAAGCGCAAGCAAUGGUGGGCCAACAUGAAGAUGAUGAUCAUUCUGGGCGUCAUCGCGGUCGUCUUGCUCAUCAUUAUAAUAGUGUCGCUUUACAAUUGAUAAACAAAAAACAAAAAAACAAAAACAAAAUGUAUCCACAUGCGGCAAGGCAACUUGUUGCGCUUAACUCUAAGGCAACAUAUACAAAAACGUAUACAUAUAUAUACACACACACACACAUACACACGCCCACAUACAUGUGCUGUGUGUUACAAAAAGAACAAAUUUAGUUUAAGCAAAAGUGUGCGCUUUGCCCUCAAGCAGCAGCAGCAGCAGCAACUCGGAUCAUGCCACAAAAGCCGUUACCGAGGCGCCCCAUUAGGAGCCCCAUUGCAGCUCGUCAGGAAAGAGAAACACAACGAACAGCUCUUGAAUGGCAAUACUUGCGGAGGAGUUGCUGCCUUUGCACUGGCCUUAAGCGCAACAACCAAAUUUAAAGCUGAAACUAAAACUUAAACACAAUCUGUGUCUAAAAGCAUUAAACUAAAACACUUUACAGAUUGUUAUUUAUAUAUUAAUCCUAAAUGUUAAAACACACACAGAAUUUUCACAUAUGUAUUGUAACAAAUAUUGCAACAACAACAACAAAUGUAAUUUAAAACUACGCACAUGUAUGCUGCGAGUGUUUUGUGUGUGUGUGUGUGCGUAUGUGUGCCUGAGUGUGUGUGGAUGUGGGGGUUUUCCCUUACACGGCGCACAAAUUGAAUUUAAACUUCCGUUUUAGCCCAGCUAAGAUUAAAGGCACUUUGCACAUGUAUUAAACAAUAGUUUUAACCAAAAGCCACGCACACACAUACACGCGCACGCACAGGCACAGGAACAUAUUUUAUAUGACUAUAUACAUACACACAUACAUACAUAGAUAUAUAUACAUAUAUGUGUGUAUAUAUAUAACCUUUUGUAUUUACACUUAUAUGAAAUGGCAUGUAAUUGAUAUAAUUUCGUUAUUAUUGUACUCGUAAUACAACGUACGUUUGCCAAAAAGAAUCGCGAACAUUUUGUAGAAAAGUUUACGUGAAAUAUUAUUAUUUACAUAUUU